This 423-nucleotide ribosomal RNA is filed under the name uncultured bacterium. RNAcentral's name for it is "partial 16S ribosomal RNA". It matches the Rfam family "Bacterial small subunit ribosomal RNA", at positions 359 to 774 of the family's 1533-position model. The record is from RNAcentral.
GAAUUUUGGACAUUGGGCGAAAGCCUGAUCCAGCAAUGCCGCGUGCAGGAUGAAGGCCCUCUGUUUGUAAACUGCUUUUGUACGGAACGUAAAGCUUUGGGUUAAUACCCUGGCGUCAUGACUGUACCGUAAGAAUAAGCACCGGCUAACUACGUGCCAUCAUCCGCGGUCCAACGUAGGGUGCAAGCGUUAAUCGGAAUUACUGGGCGUAAAGCGUGCGCAGGCGGUUUUGUAAGACAGAGGUGAAAUCCCCGGGCUCAACCUGGGAACUGCCUUUGUGACUGCAAGGCUAGAGUACGGCAGAGGGGGGUGGAAUUCCGCGUGUAGCAGUGAAAUGCGUAGAUAUGCGGAGGAACACCGAUGGCGAAGGCAACCCCCUGGGCCUGUACUGACGCUCAUGCACGAAAGCGUGGGGAGCAAACA